CCCAGGCCGGGCGGCGUGCCGUCCAUGGCGCCGCCGAACUUCUUGUAGGUCUCCUCGAUGGGGCUCAGGAUGUCGGACACGGAGAAGGGCGUCGUGUGCUUGGGGCUCAACGACAUGGCUCGGCGGGCGGCCAGGGUUUCUAAUUUAUGCGUCUUUAGCCUCUCAAGCAUCAUUUUGUGGGCAACCAACCGGGCACUUUCAAAUUAGCUCAAAGUAUCCAAAUCCAAAGAAGAGAAAACACAGAGACACAAAUACACGGAUCCUAAUUUAAGAAGAACAGGAUGUAAGAAAACAAUUCCAGUUUAACCUAUUAGAACAUAAAAUCUAAUAGGACACAUCUUGAAGUGGCUCCUGCUACAAGUUCAAUGACAUCUAGAAAGCUCACACCUUUGAAUAAAGAAAGCACCUUAUCGUGUCUGGAGGCUCUCUGCAGACUGUCUCUUCCUGACUGCUUGGGAACUUGAUACCCUAAUUAGUACUCCUUUACUAGAGGUAAACAGUUAUGGAAAAUAUCCACAAUCUUCAACAGUUCUUCCUCUCAACUGUCUGGGUCUCGUUCCAGAAAUUGCAUAUCUUUGUGCUGAAAACACUGGAAGUGUGCAGAUGAUUCUGAAAACAUGUAUUCUGGAGGAUGUGUAAGGAUGUGUAUAUACAGAUGCAAAUUAGAAUAAUCCAAUUGAUACUCCAUUAAAGGUUUUUAUCAAAUUCAUUUCAUCA
This is a long non-coding RNA of Bubalus bubalis (water buffalo), 717 nucleotides long. RefSeq lists it as uncharacterized. The record is from RefSeq and is a predicted model, not a curated record. Lineage: Eukaryota; Metazoa; Chordata; Mammalia; Artiodactyla; Bovidae. The transcript has 4 exons.